AAAAAAUUGAAAAAAAAAAACAUCCAACCUCUUACAUUGUAAAUCAAAAUCCCACUUUGUAGAACUUUAAUAAAAUUACUUUCUUCCUCGUUAACUACUUUGUUCAAUUAAAUUACUCAUAUCAUGUCUACCACAUAAAAUCUACUUAACCAUUUCUUUCCAAACCCAUUUAGUUUCCAAGAAUCAUGGGAGCGAAAAGGGCAAAAGAAGCUUGGGAUAAACUAAAGGAGAAGUUUCACGGCAGUGACAAGGUACGUACUUGUUGUUUUUUAACUUUAAGAAGAAAUUUUGAAAAUUCAAGAAUAGAUGAAAUAGUAAAUCAACUAAGAUCUAAUGGAGAUGAUGUUCCUCAAAAAACAAUUGUCGAAAAAAUUUUAAUUUCUUGCGUAGAAAAAUAUGAUCUAAUUAUUGCAGCUAUUGAGGAGUCAAAACAUAUAGGUAAAUUGACAGCUGCAGAAUUAAUGGGUUCACUAAUAGCACAUUAAAAAAUUUAGAAAGGCGUUAUAAAAUAAACACAGAAGAUGCAUUUCAAUCUAAAGUUAAUAUGUGGUUUCAGAAAUCUAAAGAAGGUGAGAGAAAAUUGUAAAAUUAUAGAAACUCAAGGAAAAGAAUUUGAUAAAAGCGGCAAGUAUCCUUCAUAUGAGAUAUGUAAAAGAAAAAGUCAUUUGGAGAAUGAUUGUUGGAGAAAGGCUGUUGGUUUAAAGGAAAACCACAGCGUCUUAGCUGUAAAAAAUUUGAUUACGAAGAAAAAUUUGUCGUUUUAAACAAAUCAUCAAGCUAAUUUUUCUGAAGAAAAAGAUAUAGAAGGAAGUCUAUUUUAUGUCUCUAGCAAGGAAACAUCUAAAGACAAACUGGAUACAUGGUUUCUAGAUAGUGGCUGUACCAAUCACAUGAUGAAAGAUGAAAGUAUUUUCUGCAGUUUUGAUAAAACCAAGGCAAAAAUCAAGAUUGACAAUGAAAAUUUUAUGGAGGCAAUACGCAAAGGCACUAUUGCCAUUGAUACAAAAAAAUGCAAGAGAUACAUUAAUAAAGUUCUAUUAGUCGCUACAAUAGAUCAAAUCUACUAAGUGUAGGUCAGAUGAUGGAGAAAGGAUAUACUUUGCCAUUUGAAGGAGAUUCUUGCACAAUCUAUGACAAGAAAGAUAAAUAUCUUGUAAUUGUAAAAGUUAAAAAGUAGGAGAACAGAUGUUUUUCAAUCCAAUGGAGUUAUCGCAAACAAUGCAACGAUGACGGCACAAGUGCAGGCUGUGGCACAAAAGAUUUGGACAUUUCCACUUCUAUGAUUGAAGAUCCUUCAGCAAAAGAGGAUGAUGAGAGACUCAACAAUUAUAAAAGAGAUUUAUACAAUCUAUGAAGGAUGUUUGCUCAAGAAACAACACCUCCAACCAUUUCCGCUCGAAAAAUCUUGGAGAGCUCAAAAGCGAUAGAGGCAAAGAAUAUACUUCAGAUGAAUUAAACAAGUUCUGUGAAGAUGAAGGAAUGGAGCAUCAACUCAUCAUUGGAUACGUGCCUGAACAAAAUAGCGUGUCAGAAAUAAAGAAUAGAAUAGUAGGAGAUAGCUAGAGCUAUGCUAAUGGACAAAGGUAUUCCAAAAACUUUUUGGACAGAAUCAGUAAGCACUGCAGUUUACCUACUAAAUCGAUGUCCGACUAAAGUUGUGCAAGACAAAAUGCCAGUGGAAACAUGGAGUGUAUGAAAACUAUCAGCAAAGCACCUCAGAGUUUCUAACUGCAUCUGCUACAUACAUAUUCCACAAGAGAAAAGAGGUAAGCUAGAUGAAGAAAAAGAAAAAUGAAUCUUCUUAGGUUAUAGUACCCAAUCAAAAGGUAUUGAAUAUGUAACCUGAGAACAAAGAAGCUAAUUAUAAGUCAAGACGUUAAAUUUGAUGAAGAUGACACCUACAACUGGGAGAAUAGUCAAGUUAAAAGAAUAUCUAUCAACACCCUAACACAAUCACAAAAAUAGAAGGGUGACAUUAAGGAGAAAAAUCAACCAGAGUCCCUACAACAAGCAACUAUAGACGAACCAGUCGACUCACUAGAAUCGCUGUAAAGAAAAACACGAAGAUUAUCGAAAAUAUAUCAAAGCCGCAAUUUGAUAAUCAUUGAACCUAAAAACUAUGAAGCAAAUUCAAAACAACCAGAAUGGAGAAAAGCUAUGGAUGAAAAAAUAAAAAUGAUCGAGAAAAACAACACUUGGGAGCUUGUAGAUCUUCCUCAAGAUAAAUAAGUCAUUGGAGUUAAGUGGGUCUACAAGACAAAGCUUAAUGCUGAUGAUUCAAUCCAAAAAAUAAAGAAAGACUAGUCGUCAAAGGAUACUCACAAUAGUUUGGCAUUGACUACACUGAGACACUUGCUCCAGUUACAUGUCUCGACAUUAUAAGGGCGUUGAUUGCACUAUCUGCAUAGAAAAGAUGGAAGAUUUACCAUCUAGACGUCAAAUUCAGCAUUUAUUAAUCGCUAUCUUGAAGAAAAGAUUUACAUAGAGCAACCUCAAGAGUAUGUGACACAAGGUAAAGAAGAUAAAUUCUCAAAUUAAGGAAGACACUAUAUGGAUUAAAGCAAGCUCCGCGAGCUUGGUACAGCAAAAUAGACAACUACUUCAUUGAGCAAGGAUUCACGAGGAGUCAAAGUAAACCAACUCUAUACAUAAAAAAUCAAGGUACAAACAGUACACUUAUAAUCUCUUUAUAUAUUGAUGAUCUCAUCUAUACAGAGAACAAUAAGAAGAUGAUCAAGAAAUUCAAGAAAGACAUGAUAAAAAUGUUUGAGAUGACUGCUUUGGGAUUAAUGAGCUAUUUUAUUGGGAUCAAGAUAGCUCAAUCUGAAGAUGGGAUCUUCAUUGUUCAGAAGAAAUAUACCACUAGUCUAUUAAAGAAGUUCAAGAUGGAAGGUUGCAAAAUGGUUGCAACACCCCUGGAUAGCAACAAAUCUCUCAGAAAAGAAGACGGUACUCCAAAAUCAGACAACUCACAAUUUCAAAGCUUAAUUGAAAGUUUAAUCUGUCGCACAGCUAUAAGGCUAGACAUAAUGUAUGCAACCAGUCUAUUUUCCAGAUUCAUGCAAAAUUCAAGUCAAGUCCACUGUGGAGCUGCAAAGCGGAUACUAAGAUACCUCCAAGGAACAAAAGACUAUGGAAUAAGGUAUCAAUCUAUGCUUGACUCAAGACUACUAGGGUAUACUGAUAGCGAUUGGGCAAGAUUAGUAGAUGAUAUGAAGAGCACAUCAGGCUAUGCAUUCACACUAGGUUUUGAAAUAUUCACUUGGGCAUCAAAGAAAUAGGCAACGGGUGCACAAUCAUCAUCGGAAGCAGAGUAUAUUGUAGUAGCAAUGGCAAUGAGUCAAGCUAUAUGACUAAAACACAUACUUGAAGACAUGGGAAAACCACAAGAUAAAGCUAUAGAGAUCUACUGUGAUAGUAAAUCUACAAUAGCAAUGGCUAAAAAUUCCAUAUUCCACAGCAGAACCAAACACAUUGGCAUCAAGUACCAUUUAAUCAGAGAAACUGAACCAAUAUAAAGAGAUAGAGCUCAAAAAUUGCAAGACUGAAGAACGAUUAAUAGAUAUAUUUACAAAGGUGCUACUAAGAGCAAAGUUCGUGUUACAAUGAGAAAUGAUAGGAGUAAUCAAAAUAUGCACCAAGGAGGAUUAUUAAUGGUUGUUGCAUAUUUUAAGAUUAAUCUAGAAUUCACUAGAAUUGCCUUGGAG
This 3707-nucleotide long non-coding RNA is filed under the name Olea europaea subsp. europaea. Lineage: Eukaryota; Viridiplantae; Streptophyta; Magnoliopsida; Lamiales; Oleaceae. The record is from RNAcentral.